AUGGCGACCGUUUUGGAGGGUCUUGUUUCGAGCUCGUUGGGCAAGUUGGGACAGCUGGUGGAGGAUGAGGUCGUGAUGACAUUAUGUGUGGGAAGGGAUAUCAGGAAGCUCCAGCACAAUCUGGAAACCUUCAGGGCAGUUCGUCAGGAUGCGGAGGCUUUGGCCAUGAGAGAUGAAGGGACCAAAUUAUGGUGGAAGCGCGUCAGUGAUGUUAUGUUCAAUGUUGAUGAUGUCGUAGAUCUUUUUAUGGCUCAUUCAUAUACCCGACCAAGAUCGCCGCCAUGCUGCUCCAUGUUUUCUUGUUUUCCAAAGCUUUUGCUUGACCACAGAGUAGCUACAAGGAUCAAGGACAUAAACACGGAGCUUGAGGAGAUUAGAGGGACAACAGAGAUGUAUACCCCGGGGAGACCCGCAUCUCCACCGCCCGAGAUAACAAUUGUGGAUACAAGACAGACAGUUCGUAUAGUUGAACCAGGGGUUGUUGGAACAGCUAUCACACGUUAUGCUGAUUCCAUGGUACAAGCUAUUGUCAGUAGGUGCCAGAAUAAUGAGCCAAGUGUUUUUGGCAUUGAAGGGAUGGGAGGCAUCGGCAAGACAACACUAGCUCAGAAGAUAUACUGGGAGCAGAGCAUACGGAAGGAAUUCCAGAUUCAUAUAUGGCUGUGCAUUUCUGAGACCUACACCAUAACUGAUUUGCUGAAGCAGGCAAUAAGAAUGGCUGGAGGGAAGUGUGAUCAGCUAGAGACCGACACUGAGCUUCUGCUUGGCCUAAAAGACACAAUCCAAGGAAAGAGUGUUUUUCUUGUAUUGGAUAAUGUGUUUCUGCCUGAUGUCUGGAUCAGUCGUCUUCGGUUAGCCUUUAUGGGAGCCUUGAAAGUCGGCGUCCUUGUCACCACAAGAAGCCAUGAAGUUUUGCUGGCAAUGAACACAGCAUAUAUUCAGCCGGUACACAGAAUGAGUGAGGCUGAUGGCCUGAUGCUGCUUAUGAAGAAUUCAUUCCAACAUCCUGAUGGUAAAUUCCGGGAGCUGGGGCUUGCAAUUGUGAGAAAGUGUGAUGGCCUUCCUCUUGCCAUCAAGGCCGUUGCAGGCGCUCUGUCUAGCAGAAAAACAGAGGAGGAGUGGAAGAAGAUCCGAGAUUGCCAAUGGUCUAUUGAUGGACUCCCCGCUGGAGUAGCCGGGGCACUGUAUGUAAGUUACAGAAACCUGCCCCAUGAACUGAAGCAGUGCUUCCUCUGGUGUGCUCUGUUGCCUCCGAGCUUUGACAUAUGGCGUGACGCUGUUGCUUACUGGUGGGUUGCCGAGGGUUUUGUGAGGAAAGAAGAUGGGUGCUCAAUACAUCAGACCGCUGAAAGGUACUACUAUGAGCUAAUUAGGAGGAACCUUUUGCAGCCAAAACCGGAGACCGUGGACCAGGCUGUGUCAACGAUUCAUGAUGUACUGAGGUCGCUUGGACAACAUCUGACAAAGGAUCACUCCUUGUUCAUGAAUGUGAAGAAAGAUUACUCCACGUUCAUGAAUGUGGAAAAUAGCAGAGCCCUGCCAAAUUUACGCCGCCUAGGGAUCAGCAGCGCUGUAGAAGAACUACCAGCUCUAGAAGAGCACAGGUGCUUGAGGACACUCCUGCUUUUCGAUAACAAGAACUUCAAGUCGAUUCGCAGCGACACUUUCAGAAAGCUCCAGCAUGUCCGUGUCUUGGUUCUCCGUGGAACAAGCAUCCAGAACAUACCAGAGUCAUUGGGGGACUUGGUGCUGCUCAAGCUGCUAGACCUGAGCUAUACGGAAAUUAACAAACUUCCAAGGUCCAUAGGUAAGCUCAUAAGCCUUGAGUACCUCUGUUUGCUUGGUUGCCGUGAGUUGCAUAGCCUGCCGGCUGGUCUGAUGGGACUACCAAACAUAAGUUUCCUUGAGCUAGACCAGGUUGCACUUCAUCAUGUUCCCAAAGGGAUUGCAAAUUUUCAGCAUCUCUACAGCCUCAGAGGAGUUUUUGAGAGCGAGACUGGGUUCAGAUUGGAUGAACUGCGAGACCUCCACAAUGUCCGGCGUCUGUGGGUUGAUAAGCUUGAGAAAGCUACACCAAGGGGUGAGCUUGUGCUGAAGAACAGUCGUAAUCUUAGAGAACUGGGACUCCAAUGCACCAGUACUCGCUACGAUGCUGAUGAGCUCGAGAGGAUCCAGCGAGUCUAUGACACACUUGUUCCAUCAACAAGCCUAGCAUAUCUUUUUCUUGUCGGAUUCCCGGGCUCAGCGUUCCCAGAAUGGUUGCUUACCGAACCAGAGCUUAAUAUGCCAAAUUUAUGCCUAAUGCACCUCAAUGAGUGCAUACCAUGCUCAGUGCUGCCACCAGCAGGUCAGAUGCCAGAGCUGCUAGAGCUUAAGAUUCAAGGCGCAGAUGAAGUUGUCUCUAUUGGCACAGAGCUCUUGGGGAAAGGUGUCGCCAGUGCUGCCGCCUUCUUCCCAAAGCUUGAACUUCUCCUAAUCAUUCGCAUGCGCAAUUUGGAGAAAUGGUCCCUCAACACAAGAGAUGUGUGCGAUGGCAACCAUCAACAGUUCUCUCUGAUGCCUUGCCUUCAACGGCUGCUGCUUCUUGAUUGUCCAAAACUGACGGCUCUUCCUCCGGACUUGUCCAAGAUUGUCAACCUCAAGAGAAUCCACAUUGAAGGUGCUCAUGAGCUGAAAGAAGUUGUCAACCUUCCUGCAGUUGUGUGGCUCAAGCUCAAGGACAACAGAAGUCUGAUGAAGAUCUCCAAUCUCGGUAAGCUGCAGGACCUGUUAGUGCAGGAUUGCCCAGCACUGGACCUGGCAGAGAGCCUUUGCUCGCUGGAACGCCUGUACAUGAUAGACUGCCCGCAUGCCCAAGAGUUCAGGAAUGGUCUUUCAGGAGAAGGCGUCCUAGUCCAUAUUGCAACACAUGGCCACAAUAUCUUCCCGGGUGAAACUCUCUAUAAUUAG
This 2949-nucleotide ribosomal RNA is filed under the name Triticum aestivum (bread wheat). RNAcentral describes it as "partial small subunit ribosomal RNA". The record is from RNAcentral. Lineage: Eukaryota; Viridiplantae; Streptophyta; Magnoliopsida; Poales; Poaceae.